GCAGGCAGCCAUAUCGCCCUGCAACUCACAACUGGCAGCCCACUGAAGCUCAGCAGGUGUGAGCCUGGUCAGUACCUGGAUGGGAGACCUCCUGGGAAAAACUAAGGUUGCUGCUGGAA
RNAcentral lists this ribosomal RNA (119 nucleotides) under Lepisosteus oculatus (spotted gar). The record is from RNAcentral. Lineage: Eukaryota; Metazoa; Chordata; Actinopteri; Semionotiformes; Lepisosteidae.